AACAGAUUUGGUCCUAGUCUUCAACUUGGCUACCCCUAGAAUGAUACAUGCCAGUCAAAAGCAAAACAGUGAGUAUUAACAUUAACCCUUCUACAAAGAAAGGAACAAAUAAACCCUAGCAUCAGACACCCCUCAAAGAGUCUAUAACGCUUAGCUAACCACACCUGCAGUACUCAACAUUAUACAAUAAGUAAAACCUUGAUAUAGUCAUAGAAUAAAAUGGCCGGUAAACUAUGUGCCAGCCACCGCGGUUAUACAUAAGACCAUAGUCAAAACCCCACGGUAAAAAAGUGGUACGUCCCCAAAUAACUCAGGAUAAAACCCCAUCUCCAGCAGUAAUAAGCACAACAGAAUAAUAAUUACAAAAGUAAAGACUAAUCCUGAUAAACAACAAACCACUAAAGCUCAAAAAUAAACCGGGAUUAGAUACCCCACUAUAUGAGCCAUAAAAAAACCCCUACCAGAAAACUACGAACCAACGUUUAAAACUCAAAGGACUUGGCGGUUUUUUAGACCUUCCUGGAGGAGCUUGCCACCUAACCGAUAACCCACGAAAAACCUCACCAGCUUUUGAAAAUUCAGCAUGUAUACCAUCGUCGUCAGCCUACCUCCCAAGAGAAGUUCGCCCAAUGAGAAAAAUCAACUCACCACGUCAGAUCGAGGUGCAGCUCAUAAGCUGGGGGUUCGUGAGCUACAAUAUUCCCCCAAGAUUUCCCAAAACCGAUUAUGGAAAGCAUAAUGAAAUCCUUAUGCCUAAAAUAGGAUUCAGCAGUAAUAUCCAAAAGAAACUGGAUAUGAAACCAGCUCUAAAAUGCGUACACAUCGCCCGUCACUCCCCUCAACCAGAAGGGAAAAGUCGUAACAAAGUAGGCGUAUUGGAAAAUGUGCCUGGAACUAA
RNAcentral lists this non-coding RNA (898 nucleotides) under Iconaster longimanus. Lineage: Eukaryota; Metazoa; Echinodermata; Asteroidea; Valvatida; Goniasteridae. The record is from RNAcentral.